AACAAGUAAAUGGUUUACGGAUGUUAACUGACUGCUACUGUUAAUUGAUAGCAAACGACAGAUAACAGUUUACGCUAAAAGUAGGUACAUGACGUUACCUGCUUGACUUGAGACACCUGCGUGACCGUUAGAAAAAUACACGUUCCCAAUCUCGCUCGGUUUCGUCAAGUCGCGUGACCUGUAAAUCAAUUACGCGCAAGCAACACGUACACGCAAAAAUGAUAAGCAGACAGUCAGCUUUUGGGAAGAACAUUUGUUAGACCUGCUGUUACGAGAGACUACUGCAGUACAUUGUUUACCUCAUUCACAAGUGAUACCAACGAAGAUCUUAAUCAUAAAUCGAGUAACAGCAAGUGACAGUGAUGAGCCGACUCUGCAAAAACCUUGUGUGAUGCAAGUAAAUGAUUUACGAUAAUUGUGAAUAUAAUGGAUGGUCCAGAAAUUUCAGAAUCAGCAGGGAAUGGUCUAGCCUCACCAUCAAGAUCUUCCAUAGAAAACUGUAGAGAACAGGGGAAGGCAUUUAUUGUUCAUGUUUUGGUUAUUUAAUGCAAAGAAUACCAUUUGUUCCUGUUUUAAGAAUAAUCAAUAGAUUGGAAAAUCUAUUUUGAAAUAAUCAAGCUGUGCUGGCAUUUCUGUGAUGCUUCUAAAUUGAUUUAGAAUUAAAUGGAAUAAAAACUUUGAUUUA
Esox lucius (northern pike) is the source of this 685-nucleotide long non-coding RNA. RefSeq lists it as uncharacterized. The transcript has 2 exons. Lineage: Eukaryota; Metazoa; Chordata; Actinopteri; Esociformes; Esocidae. The record is from RefSeq and is a predicted model, not a curated record.